CAAAAACUAGUUUAAUAAAAACACUAGCAUUGGAAGCCAGCAACUAAGAAAUGUACUCUUACUUUUUGA
Molecule: transfer RNA, 69 nt
Filed under: Nacella magellanica
Lineage: Eukaryota; Metazoa; Mollusca; Gastropoda; Nacellidae
Description: tRNA-Pro
Source: RNAcentral